Molecule: long non-coding RNA, 1046 nt
Organism: Grammomys surdaster
Lineage: Eukaryota; Metazoa; Chordata; Mammalia; Rodentia; Muridae
Exons: 3
Source: RefSeq, a predicted model, not a curated record
CAGAGGGGAGAGGGCGCGGGAAGCCCGAGACGCAGUUUGCUAGUGCUGGAUUGGGUCAGACUCUGCAGCUCCGAUUGAUCCGGUCCAAAACUGCGGAAUGAAGAGUCCAGGCUGGAAGCCGAUUCAAGCCCCAACUCCAGCCUCAGUCCUCUUUCCCUACCAAGAAUGGCUUCAGGCUUCCGAAGUUGGUGGGUUGGACUUUUAUCAUUUUGCUCUGAGAACCUGUGUGUAAACAAACCCUUGCUACUCUGCAAAGGAAUCUGCAGGGCGCCACGAAUUCGGAGAUGGGGGAAUGAGUGUUUGGAGAUGCCUGAGGUAUGGUCCUUACCCGCGUGACCUGUGGAGGACUCUAACUCCUUGGCUCAAGUGACCCUUGGCUCCAGUCUUACCCUCUGGAGUAGCUGGAACUGCAAGCAUGUCAGGUCCAAGUGAGAAAUCAGGGUUGAAAACUUCAUGGAGGAUUCAUCAUUUCUGCCCUGAAUUGGAAUCAAUUCCUUUUUUUUUUUUUGGAAUCAAUUCCUUAUUGACUUAUUUUUACUGUAUUAAAAGUGUUUUUAAUUAACCAUGGUAUUUGUUUGGGUAAGACCUUUGUUUUUGUAAGGUUUUACAAGAGCUUAUAAAUGAUCAUAUACUCUUCUGGUAUAUGUAAGUGUUAAUAUUUUUAAGUCCGCAGGAUGGAUUAUCUAUUUUAAAACUUAGUAAAGUUGUAUCAUCUUUAUGGUACCAGAGAAUAUGCUCAGUUGCCAGCAUGAAUCACAGUAUUACACCAGGCACUUGUAAAUUAUUUUUAUUCAGCCUGCAUCAAUGAUUUUUCAAAAGCUGUUUCUUCACCAGCUUGUCCAUCCACUGUCAUAAAUCUUCCUAAAGAAGCAACUAAACUCUUGUUUCUGGCAAAUGCUAUUUCAUACAAGGUGGUAUCUGUGUUGUUAGAACAGGAUUUUUGUUCUAUUUAUUGAAUUUGUCUUUUUAAAAAUCAAAACUUUAAUCAAUACAGAAAAACUUCAAGAAGUCAAUGGUGAUCUGAAUAAAAAUUUAUUUAAACCCUU